CACCUGCAGCUAGAUGGGUGCUGUCUCUCUCUGGACAAAUCUGGAGUUGCCAAAGAAGGCAUCAAGAAUCUUGUCCUUAAGGUCUUCCAUGGUCUUGAGGUAGUGGCAAUGGUCA
Molecule: microRNA precursor, 115 nt
Filed under: Cricetulus griseus (Chinese hamster)
Lineage: Eukaryota; Metazoa; Chordata; Mammalia; Rodentia; Cricetidae
Description: mir-492
Source: RNAcentral